This 471-nucleotide ribosomal RNA is filed under the name uncultured Streptococcus sp. RNAcentral's name for it is "bacterial SSU rRNA". It matches the Rfam family "Bacterial small subunit ribosomal RNA", at positions 916 to 1381 of the family's 1533-position model. The record is from RNAcentral. Lineage: Bacteria; Bacillati; Bacillota; Bacilli; Lactobacillales; Streptococcaceae.
UUAGACGGGACCCGCACAAGCGGUGGAUUAUGUGGAUUAAUUCGAUGCAACGCGAAGAACCUUACCAGGUCUUGACAUCCCGAUGCUAUUUCUAGAGAUAGAAAGUUACUUCGGUACAUCGGUGACAGGUGGUGCAUGGUUGUCGUCAGCUCGUGUCGUGAGAUGUUGGGUUAAGUCCCGCAACGAGCGCAACCCCUAUUGUUAGUUGCCAUCAUUCAGUUGGGCACUCUAGCGAGACUGCCGGUAAUAAACCGGAGGAAGGUGGGGAUGACGUCAAAUCAUCAUGCCCCUUAUGACCUGGGCUACACACGUGCUACAAUGGUUGGUACAACGAGUUGCGAGUCGGUGACGGCGAGCUAAUCUCUUAAAGCCAAUCUCAGUUCGAAUUGUAGGCUGCAACUCGCCUACAUGAAGUCGGAAUCGCUAGUAAUCGCGGAUCAGCACGCCGCGGUGAAUACGUUCCCGGGCCUU